GUUGGAUAGGAGUGAAUCACCUGUUUGUGGGUCAAGGCACUUCGAGAUUUAUUUACAAACUAAACAUGUAGAGGCUUUACUUAUGUGCAAUAGGACCCGGGUUCGACCCCCGGCGUCUCCAUUU
RNAcentral lists this transfer-messenger RNA (124 nucleotides) under Leptospiraceae bacterium. Its description in RNAcentral is "partial transfer-messenger RNA". It matches the Rfam family "transfer-messenger RNA", at positions 236 to 374 of the family's 374-position model. Rfam says of the family: Bacterial tmRNA, also known as 10Sa RNA or SsrA, is named for its dual tRNA and mRNA-like properties. Its role is to liberate the mRNA from a stalled ribosome. The record is from RNAcentral. Lineage: Bacteria; Pseudomonadati; Spirochaetota; Leptospiria; Leptospirales; Leptospiraceae.